CAGCCGUAAACUAUGCUCGCUAGGUGUCAGGCAUGGCGCGACCGUGUCUGGUGCCGCAGGGAAGCCGUGAAGCGAGCCACCUGGGAAGUACGGCCGCAAGGCUGAAACUUAAGGAUUGGCGGGGAGCACAACAACGGGUGGAGCCUGCGGUUUAAUUGGACUCAACGCCGGACAACUCACCGGGAACGACAGCAAUAUGUAGGCCAGGCUGAAGACCUUGCCUGAAUCGCUGAGAGGUGGUGCAUGGCGUAGACGUCU
This 258-nucleotide ribosomal RNA is filed under the name uncultured archaeon. RNAcentral describes it as "partial 16S ribosomal RNA". It matches the Rfam family "Archaeal small subunit ribosomal RNA", at positions 748 to 1009 of the family's 1478-position model. The record is from RNAcentral.